Molecule: ribosomal RNA, 253 nt
Filed under: uncultured bacterium
Lineage: Bacteria
Description: partial 16S ribosomal RNA
Rfam family: Bacterial small subunit ribosomal RNA
Source: RNAcentral
UACGAAGGGGGCUAGCGUUGCUCGGAAUCACUGGGCGUAAAGGGUGCGUAGGCGGGUCUUUAAGUCAGGGGUGAAAUCCUGGAGCUCAACUCCAGAACUGCCUUUGAUACUGAGGAUCUUGAGUUCGGGAGAGGUGAGUGGAACUGCGAGUGUAGAGGUGAAAUUCGUAGAUAUCAGGAGGAACACCGGUGGCGAAGGCGGCUCUCUGGACGGUGACUGACGCUGAGACGCGAAAGCGUGGGGAGCAAACAGG